Long non-coding RNA from Dreissena polymorpha, 563 nucleotides. RefSeq lists it as uncharacterized. The record is from RefSeq and is a predicted model, not a curated record. Lineage: Eukaryota; Metazoa; Mollusca; Bivalvia; Myida; Dreissenidae. The transcript has 3 exons.
AGGUUAUGAAGAGAUGGGCGAAAAUUUAGCACUGAACCGAGGGCUUUAAAGAUGCAGUUAAAGGAACCCCCAUAAUCAAAUUUGCAGUGAUGUUAGUACUGGAAGUGAUUCACCAACAAAUUACAAAACCUUCGAUGAUCCGAAUUAAAUGCACAAGAAGGGAAUAUCAUCAACUUGAAUGACAGACGAACUACACCGUUGAAGUCAAUAACUACUCGUCUACUUUAAGCUUGUUAUACAAAUAAAGCAUAUAUUUGUACAGCAAAGCACUCGUGAAAAAUAAUUAUCUCAACAAAUCUCUCAUCAAACAUGUAAUGUACAUAAUUUAGGAACUUCUUGGUAGAUCUAUGUUUGUGUGUUUUAUUAAAUUAUUUCAUGAAACCCGAAAACACCAAAUACAUAUAUUUGUACAGUAUUUUUGUUUAUUCUAAAAAAAGGAAGGUUUUUAUAAGUGUGUAUAUUUGUAAUUAAAAAAUAUAUAUGCAUGUGCAUGUAAUGAUAUAAUUGUGAAACUUUCAUAAACAUGUUGUCUUGUUUGCGAAAUAAAAACAUUUUGAAAAAUA